Molecule: long non-coding RNA, 503 nt
Organism: Gossypium raimondii (Peruvian cotton)
Lineage: Eukaryota; Viridiplantae; Streptophyta; Magnoliopsida; Malvales; Malvaceae
Exons: 2
Source: RefSeq, a predicted model, not a curated record
AAGUUAAUUUUAAAAGCACCAAAAAUCAUGAGGACUAAUGGCGAAAAUAGUCCAUUUUGAACCCUAUAUAAUCCCAUUUUAGAACCCUAAAAUCAAUUCCCUUCUGCCAUUUGAAGAUUUGCGCCGCAGCCUCCCUUUCUCUGCCAUUCUCCCAACCCCGACCAAAUAACGACGAACGAGGGCGCCCGACGACGGCGUGGGUGUUGUGCGAGUGGACGUGCAAGCGAAGACGCGAGGCGGUUAUUGCGACGUGUGCUGAAGCUGCUGCAACAGAAGCAACUUCUGGGUUUUCUGUUACCUUAGGUCAAUUGGGCCUUGUAGUUGGGAUUAGCCCAAAUUUAUUUGGGCUAGGUAAAAUAGAUUUUUUAUUUUUAAAAUUAGGCCAAAAUUGGCCUAUUACAAUUAUGAUUAUGUUUUUUGAGAUUUAUUGGCUUGAAAAUAUUUUUUAAGUAUUCAUGCGAAUCUCUAUUUAAUCAUAAAUACAAUUUUAGAUUUAUGUGGUA